UCUGUUUGAUUUAGAUGAUGUUCCAGACUAUUUGGAAGAAGGAAAGUCAGCUUUGGAUAUGUACUUAGAGGAUCCAAAGUUAGAUAUGAGGAGCCAUCCUAAUUUGAAUGUUCUGCAGUAUUGGAAAGAAAAUAUAUAUCGUUUUGGCGCUCUGACAUAUAUGGCAAUGGAUGUGCUUAGCAUUCCUAUAACUACAGUGGCUUCUGAAUCUUCGUUUAGUAUUGGUUCUCAGGUUAUAAGCAAGUAUCGAAGUAGAUUGUUGCCUAGUAAUGUUCAGGCUCUAUUGUGUACACGUUCUUGGAUACAUGGUUACCUACUUGAUGAUGAAGGUAAAAGUAUUUUGUCUGUUGAUUAGCAUGAUUUAUUUGCUGUGAAUUGAGAUGAAUUUAACAGUUCAAUUGUAUUGCAGAAAAUGACGAAGGUGAGAUGGUUAUUAUUCGAGCAAGCCCAAAUGGAGUAGAAGAAUUUGGGAGCAGCCAAAGAACUGAGAACCUUCAAUCCAAUCCAUAAUUAACUUCGACGUCCUCCACCGGCACUUGUAAGGAAGAGAUUGGUUCUGUCAGUAUGAAGAGAUUCGUAAGCUUUUACGUUGGUGACGAAGAGGAGAAUCUUAAGAGUCUUUUAUAAAUCUAUGCUUUAGUUUUUAAUUUCAUGAAACUGCUGAGAAUAUGAAAAUAUUAUUGUGAAACAUGCAUUUUAUACAAUUUUCUCCAUUGUAUUAAAUUUUAUGAUUUUUAAUUUAUAAAUUAUAGAGAACAAAAAAGGUUAUAUGAGUUAUGGUAUUAUUGGUUAAUAUUGUUACUAUAUAAUAGUUAGUCAACUCAUUAAAACCACUAACUCAUUAAUCUAAAUGAAUUAGAGACUAAACCAAACCAUUCUAAAUGAAUUAGAGACUAAACCAAACCAUUAGGUAAAUGGUUUGGGUUGAACCCAAACCAUAACCAAUAGAAGACUGGAUUUAUUUGGAUAUUGUUUGGUUUGGGUUGGUUUACCCAUUUUGACAACUCUAAGUACAUGUCACCUAGUUGACUUGGUAAACAAGUAAACUUCAUUGGAGGUUUGUUAUGAUAAAAAUGUCACUUUCAAAGUUUAAAGUGCUAGUCAAAACAUUCAGUGUUCAAUGUGCGAGACUGUGACACUCUCAGAGUUUAAAAUGCGAUUUUCCCAAUAAAAUUUCGAGAGCAUAUCACAUUGACAUACUUUACCCUUGUAGUUUUACACUUUAACAUACUUUAUGCUUGCAGUGUACUUUCGACAUGUGUUGGUCUUUUUUUGUGCCGAAAUUGCCCCUAACAGAAAGUAAAUGCUUUAACAUAAUAGAUUACAACAUUGGUUCGGUCCUAAACACUAGUUUGUGGUUACUUGACAACCGAGUUCGUGGUCACGGUUUUGUAAGUCUUGUUGGACUUGUGGUCAUUGAUUAAUGUUGAAGGUAUAGUCACAAGACAAACGUAACAGUUAGCCUAGCCGUAGUUGUGGUCAGUGGUCAAAAACAACUUGAAAUUGUGGGCACUAGAUAUUGGUAAAUCCGUAGAUCCAGGCUGUUGGUUGGUGUAUUUUCAUCUUUAUGGUCACUGCACAAAAUCUUAUUGCUCUGGCCAUACCAUAAACACUUGGUGGAAAAAAUAGUAAUUAAUGGACUCAUGAAACGGUGCUGUAUAUUCAUCUCCCACUGUAACUGGCCGCCAAUACCACACCUUACCUCGUAAGCUUCUUCCAAUUUCCAGAACCCACAUCGUUCACCUGACCCCUGCCCAUAGCUGUCUUCGUACAAGCAAUGUUCCUCAAGAACCUCACAUCAUUGUUAUGGUGAGCGUCACGCAGGUAAUGGCUCCUCGAAAAAUUUGAUUCAGAACCAUCACUAUCACCAUCUUCUUCAGCCACGAGUGUUGGAGGAGUGAGGGCUUAUGGUGGAGUUGGACGAGAUUGAAAUCUUGCGGCGAUGGAGACAUAAAGAGAAGAAGAUAAAGUUUUUUAAGUACAAGGGCUUUUUGGGUAAAUUACAAGAACAAAGUACAUGAUCAGUCCAAAGUAUGUGUAAGUGUAAAAUGAGAGGGUAAAAGUAUGUCUAGAUGUAAUUUUUUCUAAAAUUUCAAACAUAAAAACAUUCUUUUGGAUCAUUAUAAGUUGGCAAAAUAAAAUAACACAUAAGCAAGUCAAUGUGUGUGUGAGUUGUGAAUAGUUGGUGAACUUGGUCUUAGGCCCGUGUUAGACUUUUAGCCCAAUAGGAAGAAAAAAUGUUAAAAAGAACUGAAGAACCAUGUGCGUUCUUGCAUGAGGUCUCAAAGCCCAACCUCUUGGUUCUAUUUAGUGCAAUGAUCUUUCUUGCUUUCUCACAUGUUAUUAUGACUGAGAUAUUAAUUAUUUAGUAGCAGAGUGCCUAAAUUAAACUAGACGAUAAAAUGUUGAUUACUACCUAAAGUUAAUUAAGAACAUCCCAUAAUAAAGUGCAUAUCACACAGUUAACUUAAUUCAAUCUAUAUAAGUGAUACAGAAUUAAUAUUAUUAUUUUUGUAACAGUUGAAGCUCCGUAUAAUCUCUUACAUAUUCGAAGUUAGCUUUUAAAUAUUCCAAUUUUAAAUAUAUAAGGUCCAUAAUUUCUCUUAGUUCUGAAGUCAGCUUUUAAAUAUUUUUAUCUGAAAGGUAUUGUUCUGUAUUAAAUGUGAUUUGAACUCGGAGCACAAAAAAACUAAUUUCUCUGAUGGAAAUUGCAUGGUAUAACACCAACAAAAAAUUUAAAAUUCACUCACUAACCAGAAUAACACGAUCUCUCACAUUUUUUCUCUUCCUAUCUCUUUCUAUCUUAUUUCUACAAAACCAAUUUUCUUUUUUUUUGGCUAUUUCACAAAUAAGCUCAUUCUCUUAUACAACCAACAUGUUAGUAACAUUUUUUUUGUCAAAUUCUAAAUUUAUUUCAUAAAAAUGGCAUUGUGAUACAAGUAAACCUGAAUUAAAAUCUGCUACAAAUAAUAAAGGACUAUCUAAAAAUCCCCCAAACAGAUAAAAAUAUUCUUAAACACAAUACUUAAGUCUGAUUAAUCUCAAUCCAGUAACUAAGACAGUAAGACUAAAGCUAGAGGAGUAGAUAAGCCGUUAACACUUAGCAACCAGUAUGACCAACUGAGCUAAUUCAUGAACCUCCAAGACAAAUAGUCAAGGAAGAAGCGAGCAACAACGGAGAUAAUCUUGGAGGAUACAUGCGGAGGCGGUUAGGCGUCCCGCCCCUGACCCUCACAAAAAGAGAAAUCCGUAAUCAACCAUUCCAGAGGCAAAAAGUGGAGGAGAUUGUAGAUCUUUGCUGAUAACUCUAAAGUUAAAUAAUCUAGAUUUAAGGUUUAAAAUUGGGGGAUAUGAUAGGUUUUGGAACGUAGAGUUUAUGAUUCUAAUAAAUAUAUAAAUACAUACUUUAAAAAAAAUAAAAUUUGAAAAAAUAAAAUUUGAAAAAAAAAUCGAAAAAAGAAAAUUAAAAAAAGUUCGAAUUAAAAAAAAAGUCAAAUUUGAAAACUUUUUAUUUAAAUAAUUAUUUAUUAUAUAUAUAGAAAGAAGAAAAAUAUAAGAAUUUUUUGCUUCUUAAUGAAGAAAAUAUUGUUUU
Long non-coding RNA from Brassica napus (rape), 3592 nucleotides. RefSeq lists it as uncharacterized. The record is from RefSeq and is a predicted model, not a curated record. NCBI's taxonomy places the organism in Eukaryota, Viridiplantae, Streptophyta, Magnoliopsida, Brassicales, Brassicaceae. The transcript has 2 exons.